GUAUACAUAUUAUAACUUAAUUAUACAUGUUUUGCAUUCAUGAGAUGGUUGUGUACGUAAGU
Molecule: transfer RNA, 62 nt
Filed under: Mansonella sp.
Lineage: Eukaryota; Metazoa; Nematoda; Chromadorea; Rhabditida; Onchocercidae
Description: tRNA-Ala
Source: RNAcentral